CCUGCACAUGACAAGAUGUUUUACCAUGCCUCUGGCAGCAGCUUGAAUUUUUAGCUCUCGUUCUGAUAGCUCCAUUUCUGUAUUCCACUGGGCUGGGCACCACAGGCAGGAACAAUGAGCUGACUGAUACCUGCAAGAUGCCUCUUCUGUGCUCAAGGAAGACCUCAAAGAAUAGCUGUUUAGGAAACAGUGGGAGAGAGCAGACUUUGAAAACAUGGAAGAACCCUACUGUGAGCAUCUUUCUUGAUGGAUCCAGGGCUGUAUUUACAGCACAGAAAUUAAAAUA
Long non-coding RNA from Cyanistes caeruleus (blue tit), 286 nucleotides. RefSeq lists it as uncharacterized. The record is from RefSeq and is a predicted model, not a curated record. NCBI's taxonomy places the organism in Eukaryota, Metazoa, Chordata, Aves, Passeriformes, Paridae.